RNAcentral lists this ribosomal RNA (402 nucleotides) under uncultured bacterium. RNAcentral describes it as "bacterial SSU rRNA". It matches the Rfam family "Bacterial small subunit ribosomal RNA", at positions 355 to 774 of the family's 1533-position model. The record is from RNAcentral.
UGGGGAAUCUUGCACAAUGAGGGAAACCCUGAUGCAGCGACGCCGCGUGAACGAUGAAGCCCUUCGGGGUGUAAAGUUCUUUCGACGGGGACGAUAAUGACGGUACCCGGAGAAGAAGCUGCGGCUAACUACGUGCCAGCAGCCGCGGUAAUACGUAGGCAGCAAGCGUUGUUCGGAAUUACUGGGCGUAAAGAGUGCGUAGGUGGUUGGCCAAGUUUGGUGUGAAAUCUCCCGGCUUAACUGGGAGGGUGCGCCGAAAACUGGUUGACUAGAGUGUGGGAGAGGGACGUGGAAUUCCUGGUGUAGCGGUGAAAUGCGUAGAUAUCAGGAGGAACACCUGCGGUGUAGACGGCGUCCUGGACCAUGACUGACACUGAGGCACGAAAGCGUGGGGAGCAAACA